GGUGGCUCAGUGGUAGAGCACUUGCCUAGCAUGCUAGCGGCCCUGGGUUCGAUUCCUCAGCACCA
This 65-nucleotide transfer RNA is filed under the name Dipodomys ordii (Ord's kangaroo rat). It matches the Rfam family "tRNA". From Rfam's summary of the family: Transfer RNA (tRNA) molecules are approximately 80 nucleotides in length. Their secondary structure includes four short double-helical elements and three loops (D, anti-codon, and T loops). Further hydrogen bonds mediate the characteristic L-shaped molecular structure. tRNAs have two regions of fundamental functional importance: the anti-codon, which is responsible for specific mRNA codon recognition, and the 3' end, to which the tRNAs corresponding amino acid is attached (by aminoacyl-tRNA synthetases). tRNAs cope with the degeneracy of the genetic code in two manners: having more than one tRNA (with a specific anti-codon) for a particular amino acid; and 'wobble' base-pairing, i.e. permitting non-standard base-pairing at the 3rd anti-codon position. Lineage: Eukaryota; Metazoa; Chordata; Mammalia; Rodentia; Heteromyidae. The record is from Rfam by way of RNAcentral.